Molecule: ribosomal RNA, 494 nt
Filed under: uncultured bacterium
Lineage: Bacteria
Description: bacterial SSU rRNA
Rfam family: Bacterial small subunit ribosomal RNA
Source: RNAcentral
AAAUGAAUAGACGGGGACCCGCACAAGCAGCGGAGCAUGUGGUUUAAUUCGAAGCAACGCGAAGAACCUUACCAGGUCUUGACAUCCGAUGCAAAUCCUAGAGAUAGGACGUUUCCUUCGGGAACAUCGAGACAGGUGGUGCAUGGUUGUCGUCAGCUCGUGUCGUGAGAUGUUGGGUUAAGUCCCGCAACGAGCGCAACCCCUAUAAUUAGUUGCCAUCAUUUAGUUGGGCACUCUAAUUAGACUGCCGUAGACAAUACGGAGGAAGGUGGGGACGACGUCAAAUCAUCAUGCCCCUUAUGACCUGGGCUACACACGUGCUACAAUGGUCUGGAACAGAGGGUGGCCAAGCCGCAAGGUGGAGCUAAUCCCAGAAAACAGAUCUCAGUUCGGAUUGCAGGCUGAAACUCGCCUGCAUGAAGAUGGAGUUGCUAGUAAUCGCGAAUCAGAAUGUCGCGGUGAAUGCGUUCCCGGGUCUUGUACACACCGCCCGU